This 896-nucleotide ribosomal RNA is filed under the name Colletotrichum rhombiforme. RNAcentral's name for it is "LSU rRNA". It matches the Rfam family "Eukaryotic large subunit ribosomal RNA", at positions 38 to 963 of the family's 3401-position model. Lineage: Eukaryota; Fungi; Ascomycota; Sordariomycetes; Glomerellales; Glomerellaceae. The record is from RNAcentral.
GCAUAUCAAUAAGCGGAGGAAAAGAAACCAACAGGGAUUGCCCCAGUAACGGGCGAGUGAAGCGGCAACAGCUCAAAAUUUGAAAUCUGGCCCCAGGCCCGAGUUGUAAUUUGCAGAGGAUGCUUUUGGCGCGGUGCCUUCCGAGUUCCCUGGAACGGGACGCCAUAGAGGGUGAGAGCCCCGUACGGUUGGACACCAAGCCUUUGUAAAGCUCCUUCGACGAGUCGAGUAGUUUGGGAAUGCUGCUCUAAAUGGGAGGUACAUUUCUUCUAAAGCUAAAUAUUGGCCAGAGACCGAUAGCGCACAAGUAGAGUGAUCGAAAGAUGAAAAGCACUUUGAAAAGAGGGUUAAACAGCACGUGAAAUUGUUAAAAGGGAAGCGCUUGUGACCAGACUUGCGUCCGGUGAAUCACCCAGCUCUCGCGGCUGGGGCACUUCGCCGGCACAGGCCAGCAUCAGCUUGCCGUCGGGGACAAAAGCUUCAGGAACGUGGCUCCUCUCGGGGAGUGUUAUAGCCUGUUGCACAAUACCCUUCGGCGGGCUGAGGUACGCGCUCCGCAAGGAUGCUGGCGUAAUGGUCAUCAGCGACCCGUCUUGAAACACGGACCAAGGAGUCAACCUUAUGUGCGAGUGUUUGGGUGUUAAACCCCUACGCGUAAUGAAAGUGAACGCAGGUGAGAGCUUCGGCGCAUCAUCGACCGAUCCUGAUGUUCUCGGAUGGAUUUGAGUAAGAGCAUAUAGGGUUGGACCCGAAAGAAGGUGAACUAUGCGUGUGUAGGGUGAAGCCAGAGGAAACUCUGGUGGAGGCUCGCAGCGGUUCUGACGUGCAAAUCGAUCGUCAAACAUGCGCAUGGGGGCGAAAGACUAAUCGAACCUUCUAGUAGCUGGUUUCCGCCG